GUUGUCCAUAUGACAGGAUAACUCUGAAGGACAGAGCUUGUCUGGAUUCACAAUUGACAUAGCAGAUAUAAAGCUUAGGACAGAGUCUAGAGCUGUGAAGAUGAUGCCUGGAGGAUACAAACCUUCCCACCUGGUCAGAAGCUUUAAUGUGAUAAAAGAAUUGGCUGAAAAACACUAGAAAUGACCUCAGAAAGGUUCAAGAACCCAGAGAGUCCUGGCAUGGAAACUGAAGAAAGCCUAGACAACUGUCAAAUGAGAGACAACGUGAACCAGUCCCCCACAUUACCCCUGGAAACAGUCAGCUGACUACCAGGCCUGAUGUACCCUGAAAAGUCAGAUGAUCACAAUGGGCUUAAGAUACUUUUCUUGGAAAAAUGCCACCCAGCAACACACUGAGCAAUCAUUUCCAUCUUCUUGAUAAAGAUGCAAAGGAAAUAUGGAUGCAUUUAGCCUGGUCCACAAGACUACCACAGGAG
This 476-nucleotide long non-coding RNA is filed under the name Homo sapiens (human). Its description in RNAcentral is "HSALNT0070879". The record is from RNAcentral. Lineage: Eukaryota; Metazoa; Chordata; Mammalia; Primates; Hominidae.